GUGGAGGAAGGGGCCCAAAAUGGCGGCGGGCCUGCCCCGGUGCAUCAUGGGAGGCGCAAAGGCUCAUGGGAGGCUGUGGGCCUCUAUGGGGAUUCUGUGGGGCUCUAUGGGGUUUCUAUGGGGCUUUAUGGGGUCUCUGUGGGUCUCUAUGGGGCUUCUAUGGGUCUCUUUAGGGUUUGUAUGGGGCUCUAGGGGGUUUCUGUGGGUCUCUAUGGGGCUUUAUGGGGUCUCUAUGGGGUUUCUAUGGGUCUCUGUGUGGUCUCUAUGGAGCUCUGUGGGUCUCUAUGGGGUUUCUAUGGGGCUCUGGGGGAUUCUAUGGGGUCUCUAGGUCUCUAUGGGGCUCUAUGGAGUUUCUGUGGGGCUUUAUGGGGUCUCUGGGUUUCUCUGGGGCUCUAUGGGGCUUCUAUGAGGCUCCGUGGGUCUCUAUGGGGUUUCUAUGAGGCUCUGUGGGUUUCUAUGGGGCUCUAUGGGGUUUCUAUGGGGCUCUGGGGGAUUUUAUGGGGUCUCUAGGUUUCUAUGGGGCUCUAUGGAGUCUCUGUGGGGCUUUAUGGGGUCUCUGUGGGUCUCUAUGGGGCUCUAUGGGGUCUCUAUGGGGCUUCUAUGGGGCUCUGUGGGUCUCUAUGGGGUUCCUAUGGGGCUCUGUGGGUCUCUCUGGAGUUUCUAUGGGUCUCUCUGGGGCUCUGUGGGUCUUUAUGGGGUUUCUAUGGGGCUCUGUGGGUCUCUAUGAGGUCUCUAUGGGUCUCUAUGGGGUUUCUGCUGGGCUCUGUGGGUCUCUGUGGGGUUUCUAUGGGGCUCUGUGGGGUUUCUAUGGGGCUCUGUGGGGCUUCUGUGGGUCUCUAUGGGGUCUCUGGGGCUCUAUGGGAUUUAUGGGGCUCUAUGGGGUCUCCGUGUGUCCCUAUGGGUCUGGCUGUGCUCGGUUGGUUUCUAUGGGGCGCCCCAUAUCCCCCCCCCCCCCUUUUAGAGCCCCGCCCCCGAAGCGUUCCCUCCCGGAAGCGGUGGCGGCCGCGCGGCUGCGGGCGUUGGGGCUGCACCACGACCACCGAUAUGGCGGAAAUGGGCUGCCCCAGGUCCCCCACCCCCAGACGUCGGCGAUGUCACCCUGAGCCCCCCCCACGCUCUGCCCCACGGCGCUAUGGGGUGCCCCACAACCGCCGCCGUUGAACUGAAGCUGAAAGGAGCCCCCCCACCCCCGACCCCCCCCAGCCCCACAUUUGGGGACCCUGAGCCCCACAGAUGCCACGUGUGGGGCUGGAGGGGUGGGGAAGGGAAAUGUGUGGGGCAGACCCCGAUGUGUGGGGCUGCAGCUGUGCUCUUUUUGCCCCUAAAUUGCUGUUUUUCACCCCAAAAUAAAGGAUAAAUGGGUUUGAGAGAUGUGG
RNAcentral lists this long non-coding RNA (1376 nucleotides) under Gallus gallus (chicken). Its description in RNAcentral is "lncRNA (ENSGALG00010001889.1)". The record is from RNAcentral. Lineage: Eukaryota; Metazoa; Chordata; Aves; Galliformes; Phasianidae.